RNAcentral lists this transfer RNA (72 nucleotides) under Camelus bactrianus (Bactrian camel). It matches the Rfam family "tRNA". From Rfam's summary of the family: Transfer RNA (tRNA) molecules are approximately 80 nucleotides in length. Their secondary structure includes four short double-helical elements and three loops (D, anti-codon, and T loops). RNAcentral also lists the same sequence under 2 other names. The record is from Rfam by way of RNAcentral. Lineage: Eukaryota; Metazoa; Chordata; Mammalia; Artiodactyla; Camelidae.
GGGCAUAUAACUCAGUAGUAGAGUGUAUGCUUAGCAUGCACAGGGUCCUAGGUUCAAUUCCCAGUAUCUCCA